AUUGAACGCUGGCGGCAUGCCUAACACAUGCAAGUCGAACGGCAGCGCGGUGAGAACUUGGGCUGCCGGUGGGGGACGGGUGGGGGGUUCAGGAGAAUAUCCCCGGCUGCGGUGUCGUACGUGGUGACGUAUAGGAUAAUACGGCAAUAGAGCAUCGGGUGUACGGGGGGGAGCUUCGGAUCUUAGGAGCUUGGGCGAGUGGAUGCCCGGUUGGCUAGUUGGCGGGGUGAGGGGGCACAAAGGCGACGAUCGGUAGCUGGUCUGAGAGGAUGAUCUGCCACACUGGAACUGAGACACGGCCCAGACUCCUACGGGAGGCAGCAGUGGGGAAUAUUGGACAAUGGGCGCAAGCCUGAUCCAGCAAUGCCGCGUGUGUGAAGAAGGCCUUCGGGUUGUAAAGCCCUUUUGUUGGGAAAGAAAUGCGUGAGGUUAAUACCCGGACGGGCUGACGGUACCGAAAGAAUAAGCACCGGCUAACUUCGUG
Molecule: ribosomal RNA, 484 nt
Filed under: uncultured bacterium
Lineage: Bacteria
Description: partial 16S ribosomal RNA
Rfam family: Bacterial small subunit ribosomal RNA
Source: RNAcentral